AACCCAUGCUGAGGAUAUUUUGCAUUAGAUCCUUGAACCUAUCCCAUGUCUCAAAAAGAGACUCCAAUUCUGUUUUCACAAAAGAGAAUAUCUCAUUUCUGAGCUU
Small nucleolar RNA from Dioscorea cayenensis subsp. rotundata (Guinea yam), 106 nucleotides. Lineage: Eukaryota; Viridiplantae; Streptophyta; Magnoliopsida; Dioscoreales; Dioscoreaceae. The record is from RefSeq and is a predicted model, not a curated record.